RNAcentral lists this unclassified non-coding RNA (250 nucleotides) under plant metagenome. RNAcentral describes it as "partial contains small subunit ribosomal RNA, internal transcribed spacer 1, and 5.8S ribosomal RNA". The record is from RNAcentral.
GUAGGUGAACCUGCGGAAGGAUCAUUACCAAUCCAAAACUUACAACCCCUGUGAACUUGUAUAAUGUCCUUGGGUGGAUGCUAAAAGGUCUCCAAGGAGACUUGGAAUUUCAUUCCAAGUCCCCUUUCAGUCUCUCGAAGCCCACCCAAUUUUUUUACAAACCACUUAAAUACUUUGUUGAAAUAACUAUCUUCUACGCUUCACAGCUUGAAGGUUUUUACAUUAAACAAAAUACAACUUUUAACGGUGG